GACGAACGCUGGCGGCGCGCUUAACACAUGCAAGUCGUGCGGUGUCGAAGGCAAGUCUUACGACAAGCCUUCGACACAGCGGCGAACGGGUGAGUAACACGUGAGUAGCUGUCCUAAGGAGGGGGAUAACGCCUGGAAACGGGUGCUAACACCCCAUAUGCCUCGCAAGAGGUCGAAAGUGUACUUGCUACAGCCUUAGGGGUGUGCUCGCGGCCUAUCAGCUAGUUGGUGAGGUAACGGCUCACCAAGGCCAAGACGGGUAGCCGGCCUGAGAGGGUGUACGGCCACACUGGAAUUGAGAUACGGUCCAGACUCCUACGGGAGGCAGCAGUGGGGAAUCUUGGGCAAUGGGCGAAAAGCCUGACCCAGCGACGCCGCGUUGGGGAUGAAGCCCUUCGGGGCGUAAACCCAUGUUGUAGGGGACGAAGAAAGUGACGGUACCCUACGAGAAAAGCCCCGGCCAAACUACGUGCCAGCAAGCCGCGGUAAAAACGUACUACCUAAU
Molecule: ribosomal RNA, 505 nt
Filed under: uncultured bacterium
Lineage: Bacteria
Description: bacterial SSU rRNA
Rfam family: Bacterial small subunit ribosomal RNA
Source: RNAcentral